RNAcentral lists this ribosomal RNA (784 nucleotides) under uncultured Pelagibacteraceae bacterium. Its description in RNAcentral is "bacterial SSU rRNA". It matches the Rfam family "Bacterial small subunit ribosomal RNA", at positions 52 to 884 of the family's 1533-position model. The record is from RNAcentral. Lineage: Bacteria; Pseudomonadati; Pseudomonadota; Alphaproteobacteria; Candidatus Pelagibacterales; Candidatus Pelagibacteraceae.
UACAUGCAAGUCGAACGGAGUAGCAAUACUCAGUGGCAGACGGGUGAGUAACAUGUGGGAAUCUUCCCUUUGGUGAGGAAUAACACGAGGAAACUUGUGCUAAUACCUCAUAAGUCUUUACGGAGAAAGCUUUAUGCGCCAAUGGAUGAGCCCGCAUUUGAUUAGUUUGUUGGUAGGGUAAUGGCCUACCAAGACUGUGAUCAAUAGCUGAUCUGAGAGGAUGAUCAGCCACAUUGGGACUGAGACACGGCCCAAACUCCUACGGGAGGCAGCAGUAGGGAAUAUUGCACAAUGGAGGAAACUCUGAUGCAGCGAUGCCGCGUGAGUGAAGAAGGCCUUUGGGUUGUAAAGCUCUUUCGUCGGGGAAGAAAAUGACUGUACCCGAAUAAGAAGGUCCGGCUAACUUCGUGCCAGCAGCCGCGGUAAUACGAAGGGACCUAGCGUAGUUCGGAAUUACUGGGCUUAAAGAGUUCGUAGGUGGUUAAAAUAGUUGGUGGUGAAAUCCCAGAGCUUAACUCUGGAACUGCCAUCAAAACUUUUUAGCUAGAGUUUGAUAGAGGAAAGCAGAAUUUCUAGUGUAGAGGUGAAAUUCGUAGAUAUUAGAAAGAAUACCAAUUGCGAAGGCAGCUUUCUGGAUCAUUACUGACACUGAGGAACGAAAGCAUGGGUAGCGAAGAGGAUUAGAUACCCUCGUAGUCCAUGCCGUAAACGAUGUGUGUUAGACGUUGGAAAUUUAUUUUCAGUGUCGCAGCGAAAGCAUUAAACACACCGCCUGGGGAGUACG